RNAcentral lists this ribosomal RNA (441 nucleotides) under uncultured bacterium. Its description in RNAcentral is "partial 16S ribosomal RNA". It matches the Rfam family "Bacterial small subunit ribosomal RNA", at positions 338 to 795 of the family's 1533-position model. The record is from RNAcentral.
CCUACGGGGGGCAGCAGUGGGGGAUAUUGCACAAUGGGGGGAACCCUGAUGCAGCGACGCCGCGUGGGUGAAGGAGUGCUUCGGCAUGUAAAGCCCUAUCGGCAGGGAAGAAGCAAGACGGUACCUGACUAAGAAGCCCCGGCUAACUACGUGCCAGCAGCCGCGGUAAUACGUAGGGGGCGAGCGUUUUCCGGAUUCACUGGGUGUAAAGGGAGCGUAGACGGCCAUGCAAGCCAGAGGUGAAAGCCCGGGGCCCAACCCCGGGACUGUCCUUGAAACUGCAUGGCUGGAGUGCGGGAGAGGCAGACGGAAUUCCUGGUGUAGCGGUGAAAUGCGUAGAUAUUAGGAGGAACACCAGUGGCGAAGGCGGUCUGCUGGACAGCAACUGACGCUGAGGCGCGAAAGCGUGGGGAGCAAACAGGAUUAGAUACCCCGGUAGUC